Molecule: long non-coding RNA, 516 nt
Filed under: Carica papaya (papaya)
Lineage: Eukaryota; Viridiplantae; Streptophyta; Magnoliopsida; Brassicales; Caricaceae
Description: long non-coding RNA (CPAP_LNC008776)
Source: RNAcentral
CUUAGUAAUGGUAAGGAGGAGGGGGAGAUGAAUAGGAGUCGUGGUGAACUGGUGGUGGUGGAGACUUGUACUUGUAAACGGGAGGAGGGGGAGGAGGAGACUUGUACUUGUAAGGCUUCUUUGGAGGUGGAGGAGGAGACUUGUACUUAUAAACUGGGGUAGGAGGGGGAGGAGACUUGUACUUGUAGGGCUUCUUUGGAGGGGGAGGAGGAGGAGACUUGUAAACAGGAGGAGGAGGAGAUUUGUAGACAGGAGGUGGAGGAGAAUGGUACUUGUAGGGUUUCUUGGGUGGUGGUGGUGGCGAUUUAUAGUGAUAGGGAGGAUGAUUAGGUGCUGGAUAUUUCUUAGGAGGUGGUGGUGGUGACUUGUAGUGGUAUGGAGGAGGUGGUGGUGAUGAGUAAACCGGUGGAGGGGGCGGUGGUGAGUAAACUGGUGGCGGAGGAGAAUAAACAGGAGGAGGAGGUGGAGGCGAGUAAACCGGGGGAGGAGGUGGCGGAGAUUUAUACUUGUAGGGAG